CCUACGGGUGGCAGCAGUGGGGGAUAUUGCACAAUGGGGGGAACCCUGAUGCAGCGACGCCGCGUGGGUGAAGGAGUGCUUCGGCAUGUAAAGCCCUAUCGGCAGGGAAGAAGCAAGACGGUACCUGACUACGAAGCCCCGGCUAACUACGUGCCAGCAGCCGCGGGAAUACGUAGGGGGCGAGCGUUAUCCGGAUUCACUGGGUGUAAAGGGAGCGUAGACGGCAAUGCAAGCCAGGGGUGGACGCCCGGGGCCUAACCCCGGGACUGCCCUUGGAACUGGGAGGCUGGAGUGCGGGAGGGGCAGGUGGAAUUCCUGGUGUAGGGGUGAAAUGCGUAGAUAUCAGGAGGAACACCGGCGGCGAAGGCGGCCUGCUGGACCGCGACUGACGUUGAGGCUCGAAAGCGUGGGGAGCGAACAGGAUUAGAUACCCGGGUAGUC
This 441-nucleotide ribosomal RNA is filed under the name uncultured bacterium. RNAcentral's name for it is "partial 16S ribosomal RNA". It matches the Rfam family "Bacterial small subunit ribosomal RNA", at positions 338 to 795 of the family's 1533-position model. The record is from RNAcentral.